AAUUGAUUAAAAGCUGAUUCUGAAACAGCUGGGGUCAGCCAUCCAGGUGUGGCGGUGUCCUGGCUGCUGCUCAUCAAACCCAGCCCCGCCAUACAAAAGGAUGCGCCUGGGUGGGAGCUCUGCUAGGAACCAAAAAUGUGUUGUAGUAAUUGGGAACCCACCAAUGGUGACAAAAGGCCCCUCUCAGCUCCAGAGCUCCUGCUGGCACUUGGGUGCUGACUGCUGUGAACGAGGCUGCACACCAGCGUGUGGUAUCUGACAUCUCUUGUUUGAUUGGUACCUGUGGGAAUGGUCAAAUGUUUGCAUCUUGUACACAGAGAAUGCAAAAUUAACUUCAUUCUGCUUUGUUUGGCAGAGUCACAUCAAACCACCUGCAAGUCACCUCCCUUGCCUUUCUGGACGAUCCACAGCAGAGCCUGGGAAGAAUUUCUGCCUGUGAUUCUCAGAGCCUUCAGACUCUGAAAAUACCACCGAUAUUCAGUUCAUCCUGAUGAGUAUACCAAACUGCUCCAUACGUUCCCCACCCAGACCAGCUUAAUGGGUGAGCCAUGAAAAUACUUGCUCCAGUCUGGGGAGCAGAAGAGAGGCGCGCUGCCAGCUCCAGUAACAGCCCAAGACGUUCCGUGUGCUGGAGGUGGUUCUUUUCAGCCCAGACACUUGAAGUCUAAUACCAUCUCUGUGGCUGCUGUUUCUUCAGUGCUUCUCAUUAACUGUGGCAUGACUCUAAAGAGGCAGUAACAUCUUUCCCCCUCCUCCACCCCAACAAUAUUGCCGACGCUGGAUUGUCAGUUAUGCUGAAUUAUACUGGAUCACUUGUGGUUAUUCAGUGAUGUAGACAAAUACCAAUUCAAGAUCAAGGGUGAACCCUGGCCACUAAACUUGUUUCACUUGUGACUCAUUCCAGACUUAAAACCUGGCUCUUGCUGACAUUUUAUUAACCCAAUUUGUCAUCCUCCUAACCCCCGUUAUCCAACCCAGGCAGAUUAUUUACUUUGAAAAGAUGUGUAGAUAGCUUCCAUGCGAAUCAUAAGUAGAUCCAGGUGCCAUAGCUAGAUUUCAGAGGGAGCUACAGUCAUGAGAUACGUGUGGUGGUAAAAUAACUUCUAUCCUAGAUGCUUCAAAACUCAGUGACAUUCUCCCUGUUUAGAUAUUGUCUACAAAGCAGCCUGGCACCAAUAUGCUAAAACGCCCGCCUAAGUACAUACCUUCAGGCCUGUGUGUGGUCCCAAAGAGAUCAGCAAAGGUAAAUUUAAGCAUGGACUUAAAGUUAAGCACAUGCUAAAAUAUAUUCUUGCUUUGGAGUCAGAAUCAGUGACUACCCCCUCCUAAGCAAUUCCCUUUGAAUCUUUCCAUUUAUCCCAAAAUAAAGCAUUCAAGUCAAGAAUUAGCUUACUGCCU
Molecule: long non-coding RNA, 1398 nt
Filed under: Calidris pygmaea (Spoon-billed sandpiper)
Lineage: Eukaryota; Metazoa; Chordata; Aves; Charadriiformes; Scolopacidae
Description: lncRNA (ENSCPGG00000010790.1)
Source: RNAcentral